Molecule: ribosomal RNA, 253 nt
Filed under: uncultured bacterium
Lineage: Bacteria
Description: partial 16S ribosomal RNA
Rfam family: Bacterial small subunit ribosomal RNA
Source: RNAcentral
UACGGAGGGUGCAAGCGUUAAUCAGAAUUACUGGGCGUAAAGCGCGCGAAGGCGGCUGGAUAAGUCGAUUGUGAAAGCCCCGGGCUCAACCUGGGAAUUGCAGUCGAGACUGUUCGGCUAGAGUGUGGGAGAGGGCAGUGGAAUUCCCGGUGUAGCGGUGAAAUGCGUAGAUAUCGGGAGGAACAUCAGUGGCGAAGGCGACUGCCUGGCCCAACACUGACGCUGAGGUGCGAAAGCGUGGGUAGCAAACAGG